AGUGAACGCUGGCGGUAGGCCUAACACAUGCAAGUCGAACGGCAGCACAGUAAGAGCUUGCUCUUACGGGUGGCGAGUGGCGGACGGGUGAGGAAUACAUCGGAAUCUACUUUUUCGUGGGGGAUAACGUAGGGAAACUUACGCUAAUACCGCAUACGACCUACGGGUGAAAGCAGGGGAUCUUCGGACCUUGCGCGAUUGAAUGAGCCGAUGUCGGAUUAGCUGGUUGGCGGGGUAAAGGCCCACCAAGGCGACGAUCCGUAGCUGUUCUGAGAGGAUGAUCAGCCACACUGGAACUGAGACACGGUCCAGACUCCUACGGGAGGCAGCAGUGGGGAAUAUUGGACAAUGGGCGCAAGCCUGAUCCAGCCAUACCGAGUGGGUGAAGAAGGCCUUCGGGUUGUAAAGCCCUUUUGUUGGGAAAGAAAAGCAGCAGGUUAAUACCCCGCUGUUCUGACGGUACCCAAAGAAUAAGCACCGGCUAACUUCGUG
This 492-nucleotide ribosomal RNA is filed under the name uncultured bacterium. Its description in RNAcentral is "partial 16S ribosomal RNA". It matches the Rfam family "Bacterial small subunit ribosomal RNA", at positions 29 to 507 of the family's 1533-position model. The record is from RNAcentral.